RNAcentral lists this ribosomal RNA (1080 nucleotides) under Micarea byssacea. RNAcentral's name for it is "eukaryotic LSU rRNA". It matches the Rfam family "Eukaryotic large subunit ribosomal RNA", at positions 1 to 1107 of the family's 3401-position model. Lineage: Eukaryota; Fungi; Ascomycota; Lecanoromycetes; Lecanorales; Micareaceae. The record is from RNAcentral.
CUUUGACCUCGGAUCAGGUAGGGAUACCCGCUGAACUUAAGCAUAUCAAUAAGCGGAGGAAAAGAAACCAACAGGGAUUGCCUCAGUAACGGCGAGUGAAGCGGCAACAGCUCAAAUUUGAAAUCUGGCUCCGGCCCGAGUUGUAAUUUGUAGAGGAUGUUUCGGAUGCGACACAUGUCUAAGUCUUUUGGAACGAGGCGUCAUAGAGGGUGAGAAUCCCGUAUGCGACUUGUCGUCAACUCCAUGUGAAACUCCUUCGACGAGUCGAGUUGUUUGGGAAUGCAGCUCAAAAUGGGUGGUAAAUUUCAUCUAAAGCUAAAUACCGGCCAGAGACCGAUAGCGCACAAGUAGAGUGAUCGAAAGAUGAAAAGCACUUUGGAAAGAGAGUUAAAAAGUACGUGAAAUUGUUGAAAGGGAAGCGCUUGCAACCAGACCUGUCCGUAGUGAUCAACGUCUGUUCUCAGUCGUGCACUCGCUCCGAUCAGGCCAGCAUCGGUUUGGGCGGUGGGAUAACAGCUUCAGGAAUGUAGCUCUCCUCGGAGAGUGUUAUAGCCUGUUGCCAUAUCACCAGCCCAGACCGAGGAACGCGCUUCGGCUAGGAUGCUGGCGUAAUGGUUGUAAGCGACCCGUCUUGAAACACGGACCAAGGAGUCUACCAUCUAUGCAAGUGUUUGGGUGUUAAGCCCAUACGCGUAAUGAAAGUGAACGGAGGUGAGAACCCUUAAGGGCGCAUCAUCGACCGAUCCGGAUGUUUUCGGAUGGAUUUGAGUAUGAGCAUAGCUGGUGGGACCCGAAAGAUGGUGAACUAUGCCUGAAUAGGGUGAAGUCAGAGGAAACUCUGAUGGAGGCUCGCAGCGGUUCUGACGUGCAAAUCGAUCGUCAAAUUUGGGUAUAGGGGCGAAAGACUUAUCGAAUCAUCUAGUAGCUCGUUCCUGCCGAAGUUUCCCUCAGGAUAGCAGUAACGUUUUCAGUUUUAUGAGGUAAAGCGAAUGAUUAGAGGCCUUGGGACAUAAAUUGUCUUAACCUAUUCUCAAACUUUAAAUAUGUAAGAAGUCCUUGUUACUUUGUUGAACGUGGACA